GGAGUGAAAGGAGAUAAGGGAGAUGCAGGCGACAAAGGUCCUCCUGGGUUAAGGGGUACCCAGGGUCUUCCAGGUUCUACAGGGUUGGUUGGUCUCCCUGGCACCAAAGGGGGAAAGGGAGAGCAAGGAUUGCCGGGAUUAGAUGGUUUCCCCGGGCUGAUGGGACAAAAGGGGGAGAGGGGGGGCAGAGGAGACAAGGGUGACAGGGGGAUGCUGGGAAAGAAGGGACUGAAGGGACAGAAGGGCGAGCAAGGCCCUCCUGGACUGGACCAGCCCUGUCCUGUGGGCACCAAUGGGGGUGGAGAACACCCUGGGGAGGCGGGGCAACCCUCAGGCGCCCCUUGCCCCCUGGGUCGGGAUGGAUUACCCAUACCUGGAUGUUGGCAUAAGUGAUGACUGACCGGGACCUGGGAUCUGUACAUAUCGAUAUAUAUUUUUCAAAUAAAACUCAAGUGUUGUUUUUUGUUGUUGUUGCCAAUUCUAAUUUAAUAUAUUGAGUUUUUCGUAUUGGAAUUUAGAUUGUGGGUCUAUCACAAUCAAUAUUUUGUACUUUUUGCAUAUGAAAAGAAAACUAGUUUUUUUUUAGUUUAGAGAUGACUUACAAGAAGGAUAUCAUGCACACAAAGAGGAGAGACUGGUGACAAACGGAAAGCAGCAGCAAAUGCACUCAACACCUACCGGAUGGACAAAUGUUGCUGCUUUUAUCUAUACGGGGAGAAAUAAAUCAUUGAUUCUGACGAACAGGCUCACUAGUGUUCCCAUAUUGGAGUGUACAACUCCACCUGCACCUUGCAAACAAAUCUACCCCAUCACUCCUGUGAAUGCUGUUUGCUUUGAAAGGACCAGUCCUCACGGCAGGGACCCAAUGCCAGGUACCCAUCCCAACCUUAGGAGAGAGGUAUGGGGAGGCACAGAGGAUGGCCCUCACAGUUGAAUAGGAGCCACACAGACUGACUGCGCUGGACAGAGACAGAUGGCUACACCAGCAUGGAGGAAAUAUGGCUUUCACUCUUCAGCUGCAAUCCUAACUGGUACUGGAGGGACUUGAUUCAAACACCAGAUCCCUCACAACAAAUUACAGACACACACUAGCUUAGAUGAAUGGAUUUAUUUCAAGUCCUUCUAAAUCCCUUAGCAGUGUGUUAUCCAUUACAUGCGGUUGUGUGUUUUUGUCAUAAUGUGUGUAAAAACGAAUCAGAUCUGAAAUGAACACAUGUUUUAAUACCAUGAUGUUUGGAU
Molecule: long non-coding RNA, 1239 nt
Organism: Oncorhynchus tshawytscha (Chinook salmon)
Lineage: Eukaryota; Metazoa; Chordata; Actinopteri; Salmoniformes; Salmonidae
Source: Ensembl